AUUGAACGCUGGCGGCAGGCCUAACACAUGCAAGUCGAACGAGUGGCGGACGGGUGAGUAAUUUCUGGGAAACUGCCCGAUGGAGGGGGCUAACUACUGGAACCGGUAGCUAAUACCGCAUACCAUCCGAUGCGCCCAGACUGGAUUAGCUAGUAGGUGCGGUAACGGCUCACCUAGGCGACGAUCCCUAGCUGGUCUGAGAGGAUGACCGGCCAAACUGGAACUGAGACACGGUCCAGACUCCUACGGGAGGCAGCAGUGGGGAAGAUUGCACAAGGGGCGCAAGCCUGAUGCAGCACUGCCGCGUGUAUGAAGAAGGCCUUCGGGUUGUAAAGUACUUUUAGCGAGGAGGCGUUACUCGCAGAAGAAGCACCGGCUAACUCCGUGCCAGCAGCCGCGGUAAUUC
RNAcentral lists this ribosomal RNA (406 nucleotides) under uncultured bacterium. RNAcentral describes it as "partial 16S ribosomal RNA". It matches the Rfam family "Bacterial small subunit ribosomal RNA", at positions 30 to 526 of the family's 1533-position model. The record is from RNAcentral.